Mytilus californianus (California mussel) is the source of this 585-nucleotide long non-coding RNA. RefSeq lists it as uncharacterized. The record is from RefSeq and is a predicted model, not a curated record. The transcript has 5 exons. NCBI's taxonomy places the organism in Eukaryota, Metazoa, Mollusca, Bivalvia, Mytilida, Mytilidae.
AAUUGUCCCGUACGGUUCACAGAAACGAGCGUCUCAGACGACACCAAUUUUGACACCACAGUAGUGGCAAUGGAAAGUAAUGCAGAUACUCUUGAAGAUAUAACAGAUAAUAAGCAGGGCAUGAACGAAGUAUGGAGGAUCUGUUUGAAAAUUCCAGACAUGAGAAAGAAAAUGACAGGGAGAGAUGUCCAGUUCAACGUUACCAGGACAAUUCAGCAAAGUUCCAACAGAUAUAAAAAAUCUGAACUUGAGGCAAAUAUAUACUGUCAUGUAUAUACAUGUAUAUAAGAUGGAUAAAGGACAUGAUACUUUCAGAGAAUCACAUUUGGCUACAAAAGUUUGUAGUAUUUUGGUUGUAAUCAAGUUAUUAAGCUGAAGUAAAACAGAUCUAGGCUACACCUUCACUAUUCAAGUCAGACUUUAAAAGGAAGCCUUUUUUGUUGAUAGCUGAACAUAUGAAGAAACUUUCAAAAGAGUGGAGCAUUUAGAAGAUGGAACAAUCAAAUAUUAUUUGUUACUAUUUCAGUAACUUUUCAAAUGUUAACUGUUUAGAAUAUUCUUAAAUAUAAAUAUAAUUGAAUUUAA